GUACAAUAAGCAAAGUAAGGGCGUAUGGGGGAUGCCUAGGCUCUCAGAGGCGAAGAAGGACGUGAUAAGCUGCGAAAAGCUUCGGGGAGGUGCACACAACCGUUAAUCCGAAGAUAUCCGAAUGGGGCAACCCACCAUGUUGAAGACAUGGUACAUCGAUAGAUGGGCAAACCCGCUGAACUGAAACAUCUAAGUAGGCGGAGGAGAAGAAAACAAAAGUGAUUCCGUAAGUAGUGGCGAGCGAACGCGGAUUAGCCCAAACCAACUAUGUUACGGCAUAUUUGGGGUUGUAGGACCACGAUAUUUCAUGCACAAGGAACCGGAAGGACCUGGAAAGGUCUGCCAGAGAGGGUGAUAGCCCCGUAUGGGUAACGAGUGUAAUGGAUAGUGGUAUCCUGAGUAGGGCGGGGCACGUGAAACCCUGUCUGAAUCUGGCGGGACCAUCCGCUAAGGCUAAAUACUCCUGAGAGACCGAUAGUGAACCAGUACCGUGAGGGAAAG
RNAcentral lists this ribosomal RNA (501 nucleotides) under Gammaproteobacteria bacterium. Its description in RNAcentral is "partial 23S ribosomal RNA". It matches the Rfam family "Bacterial large subunit ribosomal RNA", at positions 1 to 513 of the family's 2925-position model. Lineage: Bacteria; Pseudomonadati; Pseudomonadota; Gammaproteobacteria. The record is from RNAcentral.